GAUGAACGCUGGCGGCGUGCUUAACACAUGCAAGUCGAACGGACUUUUAAUGAAGCCUAGCGAUUUAAAAGUUAGUGGCGGACGGGUGAGCAACGCGUGGGUAACCUGCCUCAUACAGGGGGAUAACAGUUAGAAAUGGCUGCUAAUACCGCAUAAGCGCACAGUACCGCAUGGUACCGUGUGAAAAACUCCGGUGGUAUGAGAUGGACCCGCGUCUGAUUAGCUAGUUGGUAAGGUAACGGCUUACCAAGGCGACGAUCAGUAGCCGGCCUGAGAGGGUGAUCGGCCACAUUGGGACUGAGACACGGCCCAAACUCCUACGGGAGGCAGCAGUGGGGAAUAUUGCACAAUGGGGGAAACCCUGAUGCAGCAACGCCGCGUGAAGGAUGACGUAUUUCGGUAUGUAAACUUCUAUCAGCAAGGAAGAUGAUGACGGUACUUGACUAAGAAGCCCCGGCUAACUACGUG
Molecule: ribosomal RNA, 468 nt
Filed under: uncultured bacterium
Lineage: Bacteria
Description: bacterial SSU rRNA
Rfam family: Bacterial small subunit ribosomal RNA
Source: RNAcentral